AGUUGUUUCCUAUGAUCAUUCCUAUGAGACUAGUAUAAGUCCAUAGAUUGGCAUCUGGUAUCCUUGUUUCUUUUUGUUUUGUGAGACUAGUAUAAGUCCAUAGAUUGGCAUCUGGUAUCCUUGUUUCUUUUUAUUUUGUGAGGCUGGUAUAAGUCCAUUGAUUGGCAUCUGGUAUCCAUGUUUUGGUUUUGUGAGAUUGGUAUAAGUCCAUUGGCAUCCGGUAUCCAUUUUUGUUUUAGGAGAUUGGAAUAAGUCCAUUGAUUGGCAUCCGGUAUCCAUUUACUUUGUUUACCUAUUAUUUGCUUGUUGCCUAUUCCAAAGGAAUCACUUGAAUCAUCUACCUAUGAUCUCAAGAGGUGAACAUCUAAGAAGUUUUAC
RNAcentral lists this long non-coding RNA (378 nucleotides) under Lathyrus oleraceus (garden pea). RNAcentral's name for it is "Pisum sativum (pea) long non-coding RNA (PSAT_LNC030775)". Lineage: Eukaryota; Viridiplantae; Streptophyta; Magnoliopsida; Fabales; Fabaceae. The record is from RNAcentral.